GACGAACGCUGGCGGCGUGCUUAACACAUGCAAGUCGAACGGAAAGGCCCUGCUUUUGUGGGGUGCUCGAGGGGCGAACGGGUGAGUAACACGUGAGUAACCUGCCCUUGACUUUGGGAUAACUUCAGGAAACUGGGGCUAAUACCGGAUAGGAGCUCCUGCUGCAUGGUGGGGGUUGGAAAGUUUCGGCGGUUGGGGAUGGACUCGCGGCUUAUCAGCUUGCUGGUGGGGUAGUGGCUUACCCAGGCUUUGACGGGUAGCCGGCCUGAGAGGGUGACCGGCCACAUUGGUACUGAGGUACGGCCCAGACGCCUACGGGAGGCAGCAGUGGGGAAUAUUGCACAAUGGGCGGAAGCCUGUUGCAGCGACGCCGCGUGCGGGAUGACGGCCUUCGGGUUGUAAACCGCUUUCGCCUGUGACGAAGCGUGAGUGACGGUAAUGGGUAAAGAAGCACCGGCUAACUACGUG
This 468-nucleotide ribosomal RNA is filed under the name uncultured bacterium. RNAcentral's name for it is "partial 16S ribosomal RNA". It matches the Rfam family "Bacterial small subunit ribosomal RNA", at positions 28 to 507 of the family's 1533-position model. The record is from RNAcentral.